This 253-nucleotide ribosomal RNA is filed under the name uncultured bacterium. Its description in RNAcentral is "partial 16S ribosomal RNA". It matches the Rfam family "Bacterial small subunit ribosomal RNA", at positions 524 to 776 of the family's 1533-position model. The record is from RNAcentral.
UACGAAGGGGGCUAGCGUUGCUCGGAAUCACUGGGCGUAAAGCGCACGUAGGCGGAUUGUUAAGUCAGGGGUGAAAUCCUGGAGCUCAACUCCAGAACUGCCUUUGAUACUGAAGAUCUUGAGUUCGGGAGAGGUGAGUGGAACUGCGAGUGUAGAGGUGAAAUUCGUAGAUAUUCGCAAGAACACCAGUGGCGAAGGCGGCUCACUGGCCCGAUACUAACGCUGAGGCACGAAAGCGUGGGGAGCAAACAGG